CAGCUUUAUUCUUUGUAAUAACAACUAUUCACUGAAAGUGGAUUGGCAGAAUGGGGCUGAUGAGAAUCUAGUGAUGUUAACUAAUAGAGAAUGCUAGAUAGUAAUAGCUAGUAUUUAUUAAGCAGUUACCACAUGGCAGGCUGUAUGCUAUAUUUCCUAUAUUUCAUAAAACCACCCUUUGAAGUUGUUACCAUUGUCCCCAUUUGUCCUGCAAAGUGAGAUGAUUUUCCCAAUAUUAAAUAGUAACUGGUAGUGCUUAGAUGAGAAAUCAAUCGAUUCUGUGCCCAUGUCCCAUGUUUUCCCAUACUGCACUUUAGCUGAGGGAUUAGAACAUUCUAAUUAUAGCAUCUAAGAAAAAAUUGGGAGUUCUAGACUAGGGGCAGAGACUUCUUACUCUUUGUAUCUCUUCUGCAUCUAUUAUGAGGCAGAAAAUCCUUGUACUGAAUGAAAAAAGGCCCUGUGAGUUUAAGAGGGAAAAAAAAAAAAGAGUGAUGAGGAAAGGUCAGUUCAAGCAGAUCACUCAUCAUCUUAUUUAGCCAGUCCUGAAGAUGGGAAACCUCAAAUAGGUAGAAAAAGUGGCAGUCGCUUACAGGGAGUAAGUCCAUGAGGUCUGAGAGAGAACUUGAACACAGGGAGAUCAUCUGAGCAGACAGUAGUGUUUAUUCCUUUGAUAGGUAUUUUCAGUAAAGUCCAAAAGGUGGCUAAGAGUUUUAGAUCUCACCAGAUAUAAGAAGUGUUUGCCAUUCACUAGAUACCUAGAAGCUAAUUAUUGGUAAUAAUCAACUCAUGUUGACUUAAUGUGAUAUGCUUUUAUUCUGCUAAGACUUAGACAUCAAGCAGUCUCCCCUGGAUGAGGUUUGAGCUGUAACCACGGAGUACAUGACAUAUAUCAUUAGGCAGAAUGGUCCCUCCCCCACCAAAGAUGCCCACAUCAUAAUCCCCAGAACCUGUGACUGUGUUACCUUAUGUGGCAAAAAGAACUUUGCCAUGUGAUUAAGGUUAAUAAGGGCCUUGAGAUGGGAAGAUAAUCCUGGAUUAUCCAGGUGCACCCAUUUUAAUCACAAGUCCUUAAAAGGAGCAAAUUUUUUCCUGGCUGUGGUCAGAGAAAUGACAAUAGAAGAAGGGUCGGAGAGAUGCAACGUUGCUGGAUUUGAAGGCAGAGAAAGGGUACCAGGAUCCAAGGAACUCAGGAAGCUUCUAGAUGCUGGAAAAGGUUUUCAAAACAAGAACAGAGUUGCGAUCUUGGCAGAACUGGACAAAGAGAAAAGAAAAUUACUCAUGCAGAACCAAUCUUCAACAAAUCAUCCUGGAGCUAGCAUUGCACUCUCGAGACCCUCUCUUAAUAAGGACUUCCGGGAUCAUGCUGAGCAGCAGCAUAUUGCAGCCCAACAAAAGGCAGCUUUGCAGUGGAACGAUAUCAAUAAAAGUGUUGCGCACAUCAUUGCAAUGGGUUUUUGAUGUUCAGUCAUGCUCAAAGGAUUUGAAGGACCAAUACAGCAGUAAUGAAAGUAUCUUUUAUGGUUUUGACACCGCCAUGAUUGAUUCUGUGCCGUACCUGGCAAGGGAUUGCUUGUGUACAAAAGAGUUUAGGAUAUUUGGAUGGACAGAAUGAUAUUAAAAGCUAAACUGCCUAGUUUAAUGCACGCACAUGCACAUUCAUCUGGAUACUUCAUAACUCAAGACUCCGCAUUUGGGAAUCUUAUUCUUCCUGUCUUACCUCGCCUUGACCCAGAGUGAAGAAAAUAUUUGUAGCA
Herpailurus yagouaroundi (jaguarundi) is the source of this 1754-nucleotide RNA transcript. It is a transcript of the gene named INTS3 and NABP interacting protein, with no coding region annotated. The transcript has 5 exons. The record is from RefSeq and is a predicted model, not a curated record. Lineage: Eukaryota; Metazoa; Chordata; Mammalia; Carnivora; Felidae.